Molecule: long non-coding RNA, 182 nt
Organism: Varanus komodoensis (Komodo dragon)
Lineage: Eukaryota; Metazoa; Chordata; Lepidosauria; Squamata; Varanidae
Exons: 3
Source: RefSeq, a predicted model, not a curated record
UGCAGAUCAGGAAAAAUUUCCUCACUGUCAGAGCAAUAAAACAGUGGAACCAAUUGCCAGGAGAGGUGGUGGACUCUCCCACACUAGAGGCAUUCAACAAGAAACUAGAAAGCCAUCUAACUGGGAUAGUGUAAAUUGGUGCCCUGCAACAGCAGAGGCUUAGACCCGAUGGCCUUCCUGGC